Molecule: small RNA, 48 nt
Filed under: Streptomyces sp. CNT372
Lineage: Bacteria; Bacillati; Actinomycetota; Actinomycetes; Kitasatosporales; Streptomycetaceae
Description: raiA-hairpin RNA
Rfam family: raiA-hairpin RNA
Source: Rfam by way of RNAcentral
CGCCAAGUCCGAGGCCCCGUGACCGUCGGGGUCUGGUGCACAAAGGGA